AGAGGACCUCCGCCAAGACCUCUCUCCGGGGUGGACCACGCACGCCCAGACCCCACAGCCGAAACUCAAAACACCAAGGAACAUGUGGCCACGACAUGGACUGCCCAUGCCAGCUUUCCCGACCUUCCUUCCAGUGGAAGGCCCGCGAAAGCGGGGACCACCUCCGGGCUAGCUCACCAGAACUGUGAAAGGACACUCACCACGCACCAGGCGACGAUGCCGGAACGCGGAAGUACGCGAGCCGGACUGCCCCUGGGCACGGAACUACACUACCCAGACUGCCACGGGGCGCGCAACUACCCUACCGUGGAUGCCCUGGAGCGAGGGACUACAACAUCCAGAAUGCUGCGAGGGGCGGGACCGCAGCAUCCAGGAGAAAUUGUGAAAAAUCAGAAAGUAAAAUCUAACUUUCGGGUCUAUGAGAAGGGUGGUCAGAUGGUGGAUUGGAAACAGUGUCAGCAUGACUCUCCCACUUGGAAAGACAAAAUGGUGAUCCUACCAUGCCCAUGCCGGAGUGUGCACAGGGACCGCUUCUCCAGCACUCAGCAGUCUGACUGGUUUCAUUUCCUCUCAUCUUACUGCUUGCUAGUAACUCUUCUUGGAUGGAAAAAAAGACAUGGUUGAAUAUGCAUCUUCCUCUAGUCCACUGCAUAUAACUCAUUGUUCUCAGCAAUCCAGGUUUACCUCUUCAAAUUUAUGCAGAACUGCAAAAAAUCAUUUUCUCUGAAGUAACUGCUUCUGUCAUUUUCAGCCAAUUUUGGCCUCAAAGCUAAAAAUACGUUGCUUGGUCAUUGCUAUUUGUCCUUCCUUCCAUGGGGCAGUAAGCUAAGACUUUUAGCCUAAUUCUCAUGAUGGAACAACUUCAAAGAAAAGGGAAAAACAAACUGCUUUAUUAAAAUGUACCAUUAUGGUCAGGACUUCAGUAGUGAGGAAGGCAGUGUGUGCGUAAUAAACAGGGAAGUAUAUGUGAACAC
Long non-coding RNA from Homo sapiens (human), 974 nucleotides. Ensembl annotates it as long intergenic non-protein coding RNA 2603. The record is from Ensembl. Lineage: Eukaryota; Metazoa; Chordata; Mammalia; Primates; Hominidae.